Molecule: unclassified non-coding RNA, 341 nt
Filed under: soil metagenome
Description: partial contains 5.8S ribosomal RNA, internal transcribed spacer 2, and large subunit ribosomal RNA
Rfam family: 5.8S ribosomal RNA (bases 1-120)
Source: RNAcentral
GAUGAAGAACGCAGCGAAAUGCGAUAAGUAGUGUGAAUUGCAGAAUUCAGUGAAUCAUCGAAUCUUUGAACGCACAUUGCGCCCUUUGGUAUUCCAAAGGGCAUGUCUGUUCGAGCGUCAUUUGUACCCUCAAGCUUUGCUUGGUGUUGGGCGUCUUGUCUCUAGCUUUGCUGGAGACUCGCCUUAAAGUAAUUGGCAGCCGGCCUACUGGUUUCGGAGCGCAGCACAAGUCGCACUCUCUAUCAGCAAAGGUCUAGCAUCCACUAAGCCUUUUUUUCAACUUUUGACCUCGGAUCAGGUAGGGAUACCCGCUGAACUUAAGCAUAUCAAUAAGCGGAGGA